CAAGUCGAACGAGUUCUCGUUGAUGAUCGGUGCUUGCACCGAGAUUCAACAUGGAACGAGUGGCGGACGGGUGAGUAACACGUGGGUAACCUGCCCUUAAGUGGGGGAUAACAUUUGGAAACAGAUGCUAAUACCGCAUAGAUCCAAGAACCGCAUGGUUCUUGGCUGAAAGAUGGCGUAAGCUAUCGCUUUUGGAUGGACCCGCGGCGUAUUAGCUAGUUGGUGAGGUAAUGGCUCACCAAGGCGAUGAUACGUAGCCGAACUGAGAGGUUGAUCGGCCACAUUGGGACUGAGACACGGCCCAAACUCCUACGGGAGGCAGCAGUAGGGAAUCUUCCACAAUGGACGCAAGUCUGAUGGAGCAACGCCGCGUGAGUGAAGAAGGCUUUCGGGUCGUAAAACUCUGUUGUUGGAGAAGAAUGGUCGGCAGAGUAACUGUUGUCGGCGUGACGGUAUCCAACCAGAAAGCCACGGCUAACUACGUGCCAGCAGCCGCGGUAAUACGUAGGUGGCAAGCGUUAUCCGGAUUUAUUGGGCGUAAAGCGAGCGCAGGCGGUUUUUUAAGUCUGAUGUGAAAGCCCUCGGCUUAACCGAGGAAGCGCAUCGGAAACUGGGAAACUUGAGUGCAGAAGAGGACAGUGGAACUCCAUGUGUAGCGGUGAAAUGCGUAGAUAUAUGGAAGAACACCAGUGGCGAAGGCGGCUGUCUGGUCUGUAACUGACGCUGAGGCUCGAAAGCAUGGGUAGCGAACAGGAUUAGAUACCCUGGUAGUCCAUGCCGUAAACGAUGAAUGCUAGGUGUUGGAGGGUUUCCGCCCUUCAGUGCCGCAGCUAACGCAUUAAGCAUUCCGCCUGGGGAGUACGACCGCAAGGUUGAAACUCAAAGGAAUUGACGGGGGCCCGCACAAGCGGUGGAGCAUGUGGUUUAAUUCGAAGCAACGCGAAGAACCUUACCAGGUCUUGACAUCUUUUGAUCACCUGAGAGAUCAGGUUUCCCCUUCGGGGGCA
RNAcentral lists this ribosomal RNA (1007 nucleotides) under Lacticaseibacillus paracasei. RNAcentral describes it as "bacterial SSU rRNA". It matches the Rfam family "Bacterial small subunit ribosomal RNA", at positions 58 to 1028 of the family's 1533-position model. The record is from RNAcentral. Lineage: Bacteria; Bacillati; Bacillota; Bacilli; Lactobacillales; Lactobacillaceae.